Hyaena hyaena (striped hyena) is the source of this 613-nucleotide long non-coding RNA. RefSeq lists it as uncharacterized. NCBI's taxonomy places the organism in Eukaryota, Metazoa, Chordata, Mammalia, Carnivora, Hyaenidae. The record is from RefSeq and is a predicted model, not a curated record. The transcript is spliced from 3 exons.
UCACCUCCUGUUUGAGUAGCAAAAAGGAUAACACAUAUCAGGCAGUUUAAAAUCCUCCCUGGUGUUAUCCAUAGGCAGUUAGUCAGAAAGAUUUCUAAGGAAAAAUCCUUCUCAACACAGAAAAAUAUACUUGAAUAUUCUGUAAGGCACUUUGUAGAGACAGAAAUAAAUGGGGAAAGCUACAAGCUGUUGAAUUCACUCCCCUAACGUGUCUUUGCCAUCAUAAGAGCAAGAUUUAAUUCAAAACUGAACACCGCUCUGGAAAUUUACUUUCCUCAGGAAAAGUGCAGCCUUGAAGAGAAAGUAAUUACUAAAUAUGAGUGAGGAAAGGGAACAAUGAGCCGAAGCCUAAACAGAUCAUUAUAGUUGUUACCAGAGGGUUUCAGAGUCAGGAAGAGGAAGAAAAUGAGCUACCAGACGAACAAUGCAUGUUUGAAAAUCCUAAGUGAAGAGAAGGCAUGACUAUCAACUCAACUACAGACGUUUGUGUUUUCUUCUCUAGAUCCUCAGCACUGGCAGAUUCUCAGCAAAUGAGGUUAUCACUGGGAGGUAAGGAGGCAACAUAAGUGCUUAUGCCGCAGUUGCAUGGUUGCUAUCCGUGUGCAUACAGAUU